Nothobranchius furzeri (turquoise killifish) is the source of this 1325-nucleotide long non-coding RNA. RefSeq lists it as uncharacterized. Lineage: Eukaryota; Metazoa; Chordata; Actinopteri; Cyprinodontiformes; Nothobranchiidae. The record is from RefSeq and is a predicted model, not a curated record.
CAGACUUCAUCGACUCCUUCUUGACCAGUUUGAUGUAGAAAGCCGAGGGUAGGAUGAAGACCAGCAUGGAAGCAGCAGAGGCGCCUGACAAAAAGAAAAUCACAAAGGUCUUCUGCCCUCUAGUGGGAAAUCUGCUAACUACAGGCUGUGAAUGGUUGAGACACCUCUGCCCAGUAACUCAUGAGGAUACUAACCGAAGAAGCCAAACAUAUCCUUGAUGGUGGGGACAAAGAUGACCAGAGCGUUGGUGCCACCCAGCAGAACCAGGGUGAUGAUGAAGUGACGAACCCAGCUGAAGUCCUUAUGGGAGCCCAGGAGGUGGAUGAUUGAGGUACGAAUCUGUGGAGAAGAACAGAAGGGUCACCUCAGAGGUGUUACUUCUACUGACAGAUCGUAGAAGUGACUCAAGAGUCCUAAAACUUACGGGGAAGAGAACCACGGGGACAGUGAGGGUGACGGCAGCCAGCACGGCCAGACGGACGAUCAGCAGCAGAACAUCGUCUUUGUAGAUCUUAGAGUACGUGUGCAGCAGCUCGGCCUCAACGUUGACUGUGAAGGACAACAGAGAGAACCUUAAUCACAGCUGGAGAAACCUAAACGUAUUGUUUUCCUGAUAUAUGCUCUUUUAUAACCAGGGAGACGUUCCUGAUACAUUUCAGAUACAUGCAUCAGGUGGCUUUUUCACAGCGUUGCAUAAGUGGCCCCAAAUACCACGACUAAAUAUGAACCCAACAUUGAUUAACACGAGCUUUGUUCCUCUGUGAGACUCACUGUUGAAGGUGAGGUAUCCGAAGAGGGCAGCCAGCAGGUACAUGAUGAACAUGGCCGUGAAGGACACGUUGGCCACGUUCUGCAUCUUCUUACGAGAGCGGCUGUUGAGGAAAGCACAGAGAGGAUGUCUUGUUAGACAAAAGGCCCGACUGUUAUCGUUCCUGGGAACAUGGAGGCUUUUGCACUUACUCUUUGAGCUCCUCGUACAUGGGCAGGAUGGUAGGGUGGCACACAAAGGCAAAGAUCAGGAUGGGCAGAGCGUAGACCGUCUGGAAGGAGCCAAACAUCACAUUAGAUUCCCACCAUUUCACUCCAGAUUUUCAGAUUCACGAAUCUAAGAGUUUACCUGUGAGUUGAUGACCACGUAUUUUGGUGUGCAGACAUCCUCGGUGGAGUUGAUGGUGCUGGGGGUGCUGUUAGCCAUUAGCGCGGUUUCAUUCACAGCAUCGAGGAAAGGCAGAGGGCACGGGAUCUGGAACUUCUUUAUGAUCACCUAAAGGAAAAAGAUAAACAUGUUUAUGAUUUCAGCUUUAAUAAAAAAAAACUGGACAUGA